GCCAGGCCGGCCUCCCGGCGGCGCGCAGAGCCCGGCGGCGCGUGGGGCCAGGCCGGCCUCCUGGCGGCGCGCGGAGCUGCCUGCUCUUCCUCCGGUGAUUGUGAUUGUAUUCUGUGAAAUUUGUGAUUGUGAGAUGUAUUCUUCUGAAAUUUGUUAUUGUGAAAUGUAUUUUGCUGAUUGUAAAAGGUAUUCUUGUGAUUGUGAUGACUGGUGUGGAAAUAUAUUCUUGUGAUUGUGAUGUGAUUUUUUGAUUGUAAUGACUGUGUGGUGGAAAAGGAAAAAAAAGGAAAAAGAGAAAAAAAAUGAAAAUGAAAACGAAAAAAAGGAGGGAAAGAAAACCUACGCGUUUGGACACAAAGACUACCGACCGGUACUAAAAGAUCUUUUAGUACCGGGCAACUUGACCGGUACUAAAUAGUACCGGCCAAGCGAUACCGGUCGGUUACCCGGUAUUAAUAGGGGGUUGCAGACCGGUACAAAUGGCAAUAUUUCUAGCAGUGUACCGACGCCGACGACGAGUACCAGCACUGGAUCCAGGACAAGAGGCUUGGGAGCCGGAUCAGGGACUUGGAAGGCUACCCGCUUUUGUCCUCGUCAACAGAGUCACCGGUGACGCCACCGAUGGUUCCACAGACCAGGGCAAUCCUCUGAAGCUUAAGGCAUCCAAUCCGUGCUACUUGGAUGAGUUCACAAUGUUGUCGAAGGGCCGUGACAUGGGGGAUGGCUUUGGGUUCAUACACAUGUUGUGCGAUAUCUCCCUCAACUUCAGUGUCUUCCAUGUGGAUAAGGACCAUGGUGGGGUGCACGAUGACACCAAACUCAUGCUCUUGGAUUGGAAUCUGGGACUGGAAGACAACUUGCACUUUCAGUGGAAGAUUGUCCCCUAGUAAAUUGCUGUGCUGCAGCUAUGCAUUGGUCAUUGCCCUUGGUUUAGAGUUCCAGAGAUGAGGCUCUCAUCUGCUGCGGUGCUACUAGAGUGAAGUUGUGUUUGAUCUGUGGUGAUAAUGUGCCCCCAUGUGCGUUUAGUUCAGUUCUGUCAUUAGGUGAGCUGGAUCUUCUUAAAUGACAAUAGUCUGCGUUAGCGAAGAUGAAGACAUGGAGCCCUACUUAUGGCAAAUCAUAUAAUAAAGUCAAGAAGCAUGCCCGUAUGUCUCAUCAGAACUCAUGGGGAAAUGUGCAACUAAUCCUCCACAAAUUUUGCUCCAGCGUUUGGCCGGCGAUUUUCAUUCUGCAGCUAGGUACGACCUAGCUGAAACAAGACAAGCAAGGCCCAGAUUACUUAUGAUUGAGCUAGUCAUGCCCAAGAGAUAUUGAUUCCCUAGACUAAAGACCACGUGACAUUAAAUUCAAGCAGAUUCAAUAAUAAUGAAGCCAGACUAUCAGCAGAUAUUUGUGGUCAUGUUCUAUAAAUGGCGGUCCGAACUAUCGGAUCAAGAAGAUUUAAGCAUGCAGUAUGGGGAUCAGGGCUAUCCUUCCACUGGCACCGAUCAUGCUCAUUGCCGGGCAGCUCGCGGCGGGAGCAAUCACCCUAGAUGAGCGUCUGGGCAUGCCGCCGCACGGCAAUUGCCACAGGGACCAACAAAGACAAUCACACUUCCCAUUCAUGGUGACCAUAAAGGCAGUGCUGCAGAUGUGGAAGAAGACAAGGGCUUCGCGGCUAUUUUCAUGCACCACCCUUCCACCUUGCCACCGUAAGGCAUGCUGAGGAAGUGAGGAAGAAGACUGAGGCUUCAUCCCUGAUGCCAUUUUUGUCCUCAAGUUUUAGCAUGCAGUAAUUAUUAGGAAAAAGUCUAUUUUUGACCAUCCAAUUCUGGCCUCAGUUUGGUUUUGGCCAUCGAAUUCCAAAACCGGAUAUCUUUGGCCAUUCAACUAUCAAAACCGUUCAAAUUUGACCAUCGGACUGUUUUGGUGGGUGGUUUUAAUUUUUUCUAUUUACAAUUAAAUAUUUAGAUCUUAAAAUGAUUAUUACUUUUUGCCUGUACCUCCGAUUUAGGCCAUUCUUGCGGUCACGCAUUUGUAACGGUGAGCUUUAUCUUUUAAAAUAUUCUUCAUACUAUUUUAUC
Molecule: long non-coding RNA, 2063 nt
Organism: Panicum virgatum (switchgrass)
Lineage: Eukaryota; Viridiplantae; Streptophyta; Magnoliopsida; Poales; Poaceae
Exons: 6
Source: RefSeq, a predicted model, not a curated record